AGAGUUUGAUCCCGGCUCAGGAUUAACGCUGGCGGCGUGCCUAAUGCAUGCAAGUCGAACGGUACUGAUGAGCUAAGCUUGCUUGGAACAUCAGGAUAGUGGCAAACGGGUGAGUAACACGUAGGUAACCUACCCUUAAGUGGGGAAUAACUUCAGGAAACUGAGGCUAAUACCGCAUGUGGUGAUGUGGCGGAAGCUACAUUACUAAAGCCGUAAGGCGCUUGAGGAUGGGCUUGCGUUCUAUCAGGUAGUUGGUGGGGUAAGGGCUCACCAAGCCGAUAACGGAUAGCUGGUCUGAGAGGACAACCAGCCACACUGGGACUGCGACACGGCCCAGACUCCUACGGGAGGCAGCAGCAAGGAAUAUUGCGCAAUGGGCGAAAGCCUGACGCAGCGACGCCGCUGGGGGAAUAAGGCCUUCGGGUUGUAAACCCCUUUUUUCUCAGGGAAGAAUAAUGACGGUACCUGAGGAAUAAGUCUCGGCUAAAUACGUGCCAGCAGCCGCGGUAAUACGUAUGAGGCAAGCGUUAUCCGGAUUCAUUGGGCGUAAAGCGCGCGCAGGCGGUAGGGUAAGUCCACUGUGAAAGCUCCCGGCUUAACUGGGAGAGGUCAGUUGAUACUACUUUACUUGAGGGCAGCAGAGGGAGGCGGAAUUCCCGGUGUAGUGGUGAUAUGCGUAGAUAUCGGGAAGAACACCAGCGGCGAAGGCGGCCUCCCAGGCUGUUCCUGACGCUGAGGCGCGAAAGCGUGGGAAGCGAACAGGAUUAGAUACCCUGGUAGUCCACGCCGUAAACGAUGGACACUAGGUAUAGGGAGUGUCGACCCUCUCUGUGCCGUAGCUAACGCGUUAAGUGUCCCGCCUGGGGACUACGGCCGCAAGGCUAAAACUCAAAGGAAUUGACGGGGGCCCGCACAAGCAGCGGAGCGUGUGGUUUAAUUCGAUACAACACGAAAAACCUUACCAGGGCUUGACAUGUUGGAAGUAGAAACCCGAAAGGGGGACGACCUGUUGAGUCAGGAACCUUCACAGGUGCUGCAUGGCUGUCGUCAGCUCGUGCCGUGAGGUGUUAGGUUAAGUCCUGCAACGAGCGCAACCCUUGUCGCUAGUUAAAUUCUCUAGCGAGACUGCCUCGAAAACGGGGAGGAAGGUGAGGAUGACGUCAAGUCAGCAUGGCCCUUACGCCCUGGGCUACACACACGCUACAAUGGGCGGUAUAAUGGGUAGCAAAGGAGCAAUCCGGAGCCAAUCCUAAAAGUCGUCCCCAGUUCGGAUUGUAGGCUGAAACUCGCCUGCAUGAAGUCGGAGUUGCUAGUAACCGCAUAUCAGCAUGGUGCGGUGAAUACGUUCUCGGGCCUUUUACACACCGCCCGUCACGUCAUGAAAGUCGGUAACACCUGAAGUCGAUGGGCUAACCCUUCGGGGAGGCAGUCGCCGAGGGUGGGGCUGGCGAUUGGGACGAAGUCGUAACAAGGUA
This 1475-nucleotide ribosomal RNA is filed under the name metagenome. RNAcentral describes it as "bacterial SSU rRNA". It matches the Rfam family "Bacterial small subunit ribosomal RNA". The record is from RNAcentral.